UGGCGAACGGGUGAGUAACGCGUGAGUAACCUGCCCUGGAGUGGGGGGCAACAGUUGGAAACGACUGCUAAUACCGCAUAAGCCCACGGUACCGCAUGGCACUGAGGGAAAAGGAUUUAUUCGCUUUAGGAUGGACUCGCGUCCAAUUAGCUAGUUGGUGAGGUAACGGCCCACCAAGGCGACGAUUGGUAGCCGGACUGAGAGGUUGAACGGCCACAUUGGGACUGAGACACGGCCCAG
Molecule: ribosomal RNA, 240 nt
Filed under: uncultured bacterium
Lineage: Bacteria
Description: partial 16S ribosomal RNA
Rfam family: Bacterial small subunit ribosomal RNA
Source: RNAcentral